UACGGAGGAUCCAAGCGUUUAUCCGGAAUUUAUUGGGUUUAAAGGGUGCGUAGGCGGUUCUAUAAGUCAGUGGUGAAAUCCGGCAGCUCAACUGUCGAUGUGCCAUUGAUACUGCAGGAACUUGAGUACAGACGAGGUAGGCGGAAUUGACGGUGUAGCGGUGAAAUGCUUAGAUAUCGUCAAGAACACCGAUAGCGAAGGCAGCUUACUAGACUGUAACUGACGCUGAUGCACGAAAGUGUGGGGAUCAAACAGG
Molecule: ribosomal RNA, 256 nt
Filed under: uncultured bacterium
Lineage: Bacteria
Description: partial 16S ribosomal RNA
Rfam family: Bacterial small subunit ribosomal RNA
Source: RNAcentral